GGGAGUUGUGGUCCAGCCGCCAGGCCCCCGCGCGGGGGCACCAGCUGCAGGGCCCUCUCGGUCUGCCGCGCGGGUGGGCUGGGCCGUUGCCGGGCACGCGGCCCAUGAACGUCUCGUACUGGCCUCCCUGCCCAAGACCUCCCAGGCGGUCGCCCGGAGAGGUGAGAGUGGAUCUGCACAGACUGGGUAUGAGGAUUUCUGGCAUGUGACUCAAUCCUCAUUUCUCCCAGCUCCCUAUUCUGCUCUCUUUGGAGUCUGCUGGCCCUGAGUGAUCUGUGAAGAGAGGAGAAAAUGGCCCCCAGGUUCCUGGCAGCAAGACCCUCACUGGUGACAUUCAAGGAUGUGGCUGCAGACUUUGCCCAAGAGGAGUGGCUUCUCAGAGUCACCUGUACAGAGAAGUGAUGUUGGAACUAUGAGAAAAUCUCAUCUCCUUGGGGCAUCUGCUGUCCAAACUGGAAAUGAUUUUCCAUUUUGAACAAGAAGAUGGUGUAUGGAUGGAGGAAGAAAUGCCAAGAAGCUCCUAUUCAGGUGUCAGGGAUGAGAAUGAUGGGAUUCUCCCUUGGCAGGCAUCUCCAAGAGAAAAACCCUACAGUGGUCCCCAGUGUGGCCAAGACUUCAGGCAGCUCAGAAACCUUCUACUUCACCAGCAAACCCAUACAGGAGAGAAGCCCUCUCCAUACGAUGGGCGUGGAAGAGCCUUCAGGGUAAGGACAGCAGACCUUAACUUUCCCAGGCUCCUUCCCAGAGAAAAGGCCUACCAAAGCAUGGAGCGUUCCAGAGUAUCCAACUCAGGAUCCACUCUGAGAAGGCACAGGAAGGACCACAUGGGAAAGAAACCUCACACGCGUGAGGAAUGUGGGAAGGGCUUCAGCUGCAGUUCCAACCUGUCCAUCCACUGGCGCGUCCACACGGGCGAGAGCCCUUCAGGUGCCAAGACUGCGACAAGGACUUCAGCUGCAGGGCAGCCCUGCAGACCCACCAGAACGUCCACAUAGGAAGCCCCAGGCUUGUGAGGUAUGUGGCCGGGGCUUCACUUUGCGCUCUGCGCUGGCACAACACUGGCAGACCAUGCAGGAGACAAGGCCUAUGUGUGUGACACAUGUGGCUGGGGUUUCAGCCAGAGAGCCAACCUCUACCUGCACCAGCAUGUCCAUACUGGGGAGAGACCAUUCCGGCGUGAGGCCUGUGGGAAGCAGUUCGGCCGGAGCAAGGAUCUGGGCAUCCACCAGAGGGUCCACAUGGGAGAGCAGCCCUAGAGGUGUGGGGCUUGUGAGAGGAACUUCAGGCACCAUUCAGCCCUCGGGAGACACCAGAGGGUGCACACAGGGGAGAAGCCCUGUCUCUGUGCCGUGUGUGGGAAGGGGGUUCAGUCAGAGUCCACCUGCAGACGCACCAGAAGGUGCACUGUAGGGAGAGGCUUUUGGGACUGGGCAUCGCCCAGGCCGGUGCCUUCCAGAGCCCGGGGGAAUGCCAGGGCGUGGGUGCUGAGAUGCACUACAUGGAUCAGGCUUAACGGUAUAGGGCAUUUAUUCCUGUUUAGAUGGGAAAGAUGUCAUAAGUAUGCAGGCUGGUAGAUUUUCACAAAGUGAACACACCCGUGUCCAGCACUUGAACUGGAGAAACCAAACAUUUCCAGCUCUUUCUAGAGACGUCUGCUGCUCCCUUCUUCUUGCCCCCCUACAAAGGAAAUCACUCUCUGGACUUCUAAAACCAUAUAUUUUGCAAGUUCUAGAAUAUCAUGUAAGUGGAAUUAUACAGCAUGUAGUCUUUUAUGUAGGACUUAAUUCACUCAGUGUUUGCAGGAAUCACCCAUGUUGUUGCAGGUACUCCUAAGUAGUAUUCCAUACAACACAACUGCAGUUUGUCCGUUCGCUUGUUGAUGGACAUUUACAUUUGGGUUGUUUCCAGUUUUUGGCUUUAUAAAAUUGACAUUAUAAAUAAAGCUGCUGUGAACAUCUGGGUACACAUAUACUCUGUGUGGACAUAUACUUUAAUUUCUUUCUUUUUUUUAAAGAUUUUAUUUAUUUAUUUGACAGAGCGAGACACAGCGAGAGAGGGAACACAAGCAGGGGGAGUGGGAGAGGGAGAAGCAGGCUUCCCGCUGAGCAGGGAGCCCAAUGCGGGGCUCGAUCCCAGGACCCCAGGAUCAUGACCUGAAUCGAAGGCAGAUGCUUAACGACUGAGCCACCCAGGCGCCCCUACUCUACUUUCUUUGGGGUAUUUAUAGGAGUAGAAUUGAUGAGUAUUCUAAAACUUUUUAAAAAACUGAAUUUAUUGAAGUCUUUUUUUAAACAUUUUUAAAAAAUAUUUUAUUUAUUUAUUUAUUUGAGAGAGUGAGAAUGAGAAAAAGAGAGAGAGAGAGCA
Long non-coding RNA from Zalophus californianus (California sea lion), 2364 nucleotides. RefSeq lists it as uncharacterized. NCBI's taxonomy places the organism in Eukaryota, Metazoa, Chordata, Mammalia, Carnivora, Otariidae. The transcript is spliced from 5 exons. The record is from RefSeq and is a predicted model, not a curated record.